This 324-nucleotide ribosomal RNA is filed under the name uncultured eukaryote. RNAcentral's name for it is "partial 18S ribosomal RNA". It matches the Rfam family "Eukaryotic small subunit ribosomal RNA", at positions 1470 to 1796 of the family's 1831-position model. The record is from RNAcentral.
CCCUUAGAUGUUCUGGGCCGCACGCGCGCUACACUGAUGCAUUCAACGAGCCUAUCCUUGACCGACAGGUCCGGGUAAUCUUUGAAUCUGCAUCGUGACGGGGAUAGAUUAUUGCAAUUAUUAAUCUUCAACGAGGAAUGCCUAGUAAGCGUGAGUCAUCAGCUCACGUUGAUUACGUCCCUGCCCUUUGUACACACCGCCCGUCGCUCCUACCGAUUGAAUGUGCUGGUGAAAAGUUCGGAUUGGGAAUAGGAGACGGCAACGUAUCCUGUUUCUGAGAAAAUCUUUAAACCCUCCCAUUUAGAGGAAGGAGAAGUCGUAACA